UACGUAGGGGGCAAGCGUUGUCCGGAAUCAUUGGGCGUAAAGCGCGUGUAGGCGGCUCGGUAAGUCUGCUGUGAAAGUCCAGGGCUCAACCCUGGGAUGCCGGUGGAUACUGUCGAGCUCGAGUCCGGAAGAGGCGAGUGGAAUUCCUGGUGUAGCGGUGAAAUGCGCAGAUAUCAGGAGGAACACCAAUGGCGAAGGCAGCUCGCUGGGACGUGACUGAUGCUGAGACGCGAAAGCGUGGGGAGCGAACAGG
RNAcentral lists this ribosomal RNA (253 nucleotides) under uncultured bacterium. Its description in RNAcentral is "partial 16S ribosomal RNA". It matches the Rfam family "Bacterial small subunit ribosomal RNA", at positions 524 to 776 of the family's 1533-position model. The record is from RNAcentral.